CGACUCUCGUCCGUUUUCGUCCGAUCCGCUGUUAUAGGUUAGUGCUCGUCGUCGAUUAACGACGGUUCGCAUAAAUAAUUUUAUUUUUCAACCAAAAGUUACGCGCGAAACGUGGACCGCAGUCCCGGAGCUCCUGCGAUCCAACGGAAAUACAUGGGAAAAUAACCGAUAAGAAAACUUGUCGGGAACAAAACAAGUGCCCACACGAAGUUUACACCGUGCCCGAACGAUGGAUUAUCACAUUGGUCAGUAUAAUUUUUGCCGGACAAUUUUUUACGCGCGGGAAAAUUUCGCUUUCAUUUAUUCCCGUUUAGCGUUGUUCUUAUUGCGUUUCAAACGUUCCAGUAAUUACCAAUCUGAUUUUAUUACCUAUAUUAAACGGGGCCAGUUUACUUAUUGCUUUUCUGUACUGCGAUAUUUGAGCGUUUUGUACAUUUAUUUAUCAUUUCGGUUAUAUAUUUUUUUUUACAAUUUUUUACAUAUGUGAUUAAAUUCAAUAUUAUUACGAAAUGCGCUUACAACUACGUAAUUACCGUAAUAUACACUGAUAUAUUAUUAUUUGGAAAUUAAAAUUCGUAAAGUAUGUAGAUUGACACUAUGAUGUCAGUCUCUCUCAUCUAUAUUACAAUAUUGUAAAUAUUGUAGGUAUACAAACGCAAAUUGUAUGUAUAAAUUACACAUAUUAUGUAAAGACCCUCCAGGAAUGUGAUAAAUACCGUUUAGUCAAGGGCGCCCAUGGGGGACAAAAUGAAACUAGAUUUCUGCACCUAUUUACAGCAUAUAAAUACGAGGUUGGUAUUUCUCGAAAAGGAACGAGGAAGAAAGAGUAUGCAACAGUAAACAUUAGCUUUUUUAAAAAAAAAAAAACAACUGUUAAGUGCUGAAAAUGAAAUCAAGACAUAUUAUAAUAUUCUGCUGUUUGCGGUUUACAUUAUGCAUUUGAGUAGACAAUUAGAUUAUUUAUUUUUAAAUGAUAACACUUUACAAACAGUAAUGAACAAAUAUCUAUUUGUAUAAGAAUCCUUUGUAUAGGAAAUACCUAUUUUGCAUUUAUUUUGAUGGAUUCAAAGCAUAAAUAAUACAUUUUUUUUUUUUUUUUUGGUUACUUUAUUAUUUUCUAGGGGGGUAUGUCCCCCCUCUUCCCCCCCCUCCAAUGGGUGCCCAUGUUUACAGUGUUUAUUAGUUGGAAGUCUGUGUUUAUAACAGGGAGUAAAAACGUUUAGGGAAAUGACGUUUUUUGUUUUCAUUUUGGUCGCGUAACACGUGUUUGACAAAACUAUCGAAAACAGUUUUACGCCCUAUUUUUACUAUAAUAUUAACAUGGUUAUUGUAAAAAUUCAUCGAUUGCUGCCGGCUGGUUAAAAAAUAGAAAACCAUCGUAAGAAAUCGGUAUUUUAUAAUUCGAGUGGGGUUACUUUUUUCACAAAAAUAUCCACGGCCCUUCUCCCCGGUCUAAAUUUAUUUGUCUUCAUUUAUUAUGUUAGGAUUUAUUUGGUGAGCUUCUACUUAUUCUUUUUGCCACAUUUGAAUGGGGUGUCGUAAUCUUUUAAGACGUGAUAAAAUAGUAGUUUUUUUUUUUGUUUUAAAUAUCAACGCCAUUCCACAGUUUACAUUCGCUCACCAGGACCUGAGUUAAUGUGUUUUAGAGCCCAAAGUAUGCAGUACAAAAUGUAAAGUGUGCAGUUCGAAAUUCCAGUUUGUUUUUUAAAUAAAAAAACCGUGUUAUUAUGAAAGGACACUAAAAAUGUAAAUACGUCUCUGUCUUCUCAAUUGCCUUCAUCUUUUCACUCGCUCGGUUAUUGUUAAUUUCUUAUGAACAUAAAGUUGUAUUAAUUUGAUAAUAUUUUUCAUAAUAUUAUACCUUCGCGAUAAUUUUUUUCGGGGAAACGCGACGGGUUUUCAGCGCGGCGGUAAGUCUCCUAUCCCCAUUCGAUUUGAUCGUCAACAGCGAAACGAUAUAAACAAAAUACCAACGUAUUAUAUAUUUACGCGUAAUCUGAACAUAAAAAAGAAAUAAAGGACAAUUUACACGUAUUGGAAGAGAACGUUUAUUUAUGCUGUCGUAAAAUCUCUCGAAGGUCACGCGCGUAUAAACACAGGACUGAAUAUAAUAUAUUCGUGUAUAAAAUAGAAUAACGCAGAAGUUCGUAACCGUGUAAAAGUUUACAAAUAUUAUUUACAAUACGGUGCAAAUAUUAUACUACGGAUAACGUUUUGCGUUCUGAUAAAACGUGGCGCGUACAAGUAUGUACAACAUUCACGAAUCGUCUUUUUUUUUUUCUUCAGUAUAAUAUGUUAUUAGGUUUCGUCGGGUAAAAAAAAAAAAAUGCCUUCCCGUUUUAUUCGAAAGUAAUACUAUGUAUACUACGCGUAAUAAAAUAUUAAAUGAGACGCUUUAACCGCAUUUGUCGGCUCCAUACACAGAGCUCCAGUAUUUGAGAAACUUACUUUUAAAAAGGAAUUAGUACACGUCCAUGAUCAUCUCGUUAACUAAUUCUGUGCUCGUUCAGAGAUUUAAGAAAGAAACCUAGUCCUUUUCACAUUUCUUAUAAAGGGACAUUUAUCGUUACUCAAAUAAAAAUUAUUAAUUGGUAUUCAUGUGCAUAUGUCAGAUUCUGAGCGAAGCAAAGGAAUAUACUGGAAUGCACUGGUUCUACAAUGAUAUUAUUCUAUUUAAAUUUUUUUUUUUUUUUUAAUCUGUGAAUAACUUUUCUACUGGAAAUUUUGCUCCAAUUUUCAAGUGUACCAUCUUUUCUAAAAAUAUAUCCGACUGAGGUGAUACUUUUUUGAGGUCGUUUUUUGAUUUUCCCAGGAGUAUAAUAAAUUGGAAAACUGGAAAAACGUAGAAAAAACGGGAAAAUAUACGAAGUGUAUUAUUUUCAAAUAGUAAAUAUUGCGGCCUUUCAAAGCAUGUGUAACCUUCAGAAUCGUUUUUCGUUAGCAAUGAUUAAUUUUUGAGUACGGAUAUACAUUAAAUUUCCUCUCUUCCUUCACGACUUUCCACAUAUAACAGUGUCCAUCAAUCGUCUGAAGUAUGUCCGUCUGUUCUUUAAAUUAAAUUUUAUUAUAGGUACUAUAUUUACUAGGUGUUUAUACAGAUAUCUUUAGUAGGGGACAUCGGGACAAAUAAAUAUAUUACUAUAAUAAAUGUUUAAUGAUGUUGCAGUAAAAUGAUUAGGGUUUACUUAAUACGGUGUAUUAUCUACAGUAUAGGUACUUGUUAUUUUCUACAUCUCGUAUGAAGAAUAUAUUAUUCCCAGAUUGAGAGGGUUGAUAAAUAAAUUUAUCGUGUUUAUGAAAUUUCUAGAGUCCUAAAGAGUUUCUAAAUCCACGGAACACAGGUUAAGCACCACUGCCGUACGACACGUAAAAUAUAUUUUCAUUUAUUUUUAUAUUUGUAUUAUAGAACUCGCUUGAUAUUUUGGUUUUAGAGUGAUAGCACUAUUACUGUAACAUUAACUGAGGACAAUAUUCUGGAGGGUAAGACGAUGGGUUUUUUUUUUUAAAAAAUUUUUUGGACAGCAUCAUUAUUAACUUUAUAAUAGAAUAAAUAAAGUCAUAUUAAAUUUUUAUUUAAUUUCGUGUGUAAUUUUUCUGCUCAAAAGUGACUAACUAACCAAUUCGUUGCGUGUAUUCAUUAAUGUUUAGUUUACUUGUGCGGUUAUAUUUUCGGCGGUAGAUAUAAUGUUAUUUCUAUUGUGAUUUGUCGUCCGGUGAUGUACAUUUUUUUUUUUUUUUUUUUUUUAUGGACGACAAAUAACGUUUAUAAAAACAAUGAUAAUGUUGUUGCUGUCUGUUGUGACGCACGUAUUUAUCGGUAAACGAAUAAUUGUAAUUCAUUAAAAUAAUAUUACAAAGUCAAUAUCACAAUAUCGAUCGGAUAAACAUAAUAUGUAAUAUUAUAAUAUCUAUACGGAGAUAUACAGAAAAAAUAAAACGAAUGUAUAACAAUAUAGGUACGAAGUUUCCUGAGAAAUAUAAUAAUACAUUCGUUUUUGUUCGUUUUCAACUAUCUACCAAUACAGAAUAAUAUUAUGUUUUAUUCACAAAAUCGUUUUCAUGCGUUUGCGUUUUUGAAUACGAAAUUCACGGUUGCCCAACAAUAGUAAUACUACUAUAUCGUCUAAUUCAAUGCUGCCGGUAAUAUUGUAAAUAGAUACAUUCAUUUGGAAGCGAAUAAUAAUAAAGAUACUGUUCGAAUAAUUUAUUGCCGAUAGAUUGUGAUUUUACUUGAAAAUAUCCGUAGGUUUAAUCGUUUAGUUGUUGGGGAAACCAUCUAUAACUACUCUGUAUUCACUAUUAACAUAUUGCUCGGCGGGCUCCGAGAAAACCUGAUACUUUUAGCCACACGGAUAAACGCAAAUAGCCCGAAUAUUUUUUAUGGGCCAAGACGUUAUUUCGUAAAAAUUAUAAUAAAAAAAAAUCGGUUUACGGUAACAAUUAUUAGCGAUGAGUACAAUCUCAUAUUAUAGAGUACAGUUACUGUUCAACUAUUCGAUAGCCUGAAAUAGUAUUGAAAUCAUUUUUGGAAGUUUUUAGUCAUGGGGAAACAUGAUAUUCAAUAGUUUAUCUAAACUGUUGAUAAAUUUUUUAAGCUAUUCAGAAAUUUCCAUCACUCAUAAUAAUAUAACGAAACGAUAAUCAUGUAAAAAUAAAAACAAAUUAAUUUUGUCGACUUUAAAAUUAAAUUAUCGUUGAAUUUCCGACUCUGUAGUAGAUAAUCUAAAUUUACAAGUUCCGAGGAGAGGGGGUGUAUUAUAUCUCUUCGAUUAAUCGAUAUACUAUCGAUGAAUAGACACUAUUGAUAAUAUCGAUACCAUAAUAUAGCUGUGAUGGCUGGAGACAUUAGAUUUGUAUCCCAAAGAUGGGUAAACGAAAAAUCGAGUAUGUCGAGUAUGUCUAUUGUAUCUGGCGAUAUUUUAAUUGCGUUCAUUUUAACCAUCUUCGACUUUCAAUUCUAACACCCCUUCAUAGAAUACCACCCCGCAUCCUGGUAUUUUUCUAAUUGUUAUCCACAUAGACAAAUUAUAUUUAAAUCAAUUGAGUAGAUAACUAAAUAGGUACCGCUAUUUCUUAAAUUCACAUCAUCUGAAGUUAGCAAAUACCCUGUAGGGCUGCAGCCUAUAUAACUCUGGUUAUACACAGAAUAAUAUUGCAAGGCUCAAAAUUAUAUUGUCAGUUUUAAUAUAAAUGGCAUGGCUUUAGGGAUAUGAGUAAGGGGGUGAUAUGGGAGAUUCAGCUUCCUUUCCUUCGUCUCCCUCAACCCCCUCGUAAAUAAUCUAUAUUACGCCUCUGCCUAGCUUAAAACAUCGAUACUAUCGAUCGAUCACGCAAGCCUAAGCUUGGUGAAGUUUUUCGUUGGGAGGUGAUGAACUCCACAAGUUCUCGCACCUCUAUUUACUUUAUCAGCGGACCCCCACGAAAUCCGUAUUUUCGCGGUUAUUGUAUAUUUCUGAUUCCGAUUACGUAUACUCACGAAAUGACGAAAUAAUAAAAUUAUUAUCACGAAACCCGCUAUAAAAACCGCCCACCGUCCGCUAUUGAACGGUGCUACAGCGCGUGUACCCCUCGAGCAUUUUAUAUUAUUUGUUAAAAGUUCAAAACACGACAGACAUUUCACUAUAACGAGCAGACAUGCUUUUAUAAUAAUAAAUACCUAAGUAUUACCGUGUUUCCCGUUUCCCACUUUCCCGUCCAUCGGUGUACACAUAUAUAUCGACUUAUCUACCGAGUUUCGCAUUUCAGUUAUUAUAUCGCAGAUAUAUACAUAUUAUAAUAGCAUGCCGCGGUUUAUUUGCUGGGUUUUUUUUCUUCUUUUUCAAAACCAAUCUCGUAUACUUAUGUUCAGUGCUAUUAUUAUUAUAAUAAUCUAUAAGACGGGUUUUCUGGUUUCUGAGCGGUGCAAGAAUUGUAUUGAUUUUAUUGCGACGAUACAUUUUUACACUUUAAGUACAAUAAGAAUAAUAAGACGUACAUAAUAUUAUGUGUGUUUUUUUCUAUCUAUAUAAACGAGUUUUCAUUCCGCUCUGGUCAAAAACUCCGUAUAGGACGUAAUAUUAUUUUCUUGUUGAAUUGUGUGUCUAUACUAUAAUCAAGACUCUAUCAUUAUCGACACAAAAUUCUGAAUUUUUAAAAUUCCUUGGUGCGUCGAUGUCAGGUUUUUUUAUCGUAGAAAUUCAUCGUGAAUUUGGGUAGUGGGUGAGUCAGAAAUUUGAAUUUUGGGGAGAUGGGUUAAAAAACCGUUUUUGCUGAAAUCAUGUGUGUAGAUUAAGUAAGGGGACACGAGGUUCAGGCACUUCUAACGAAAAAACUAAAAUUUAGAUAACCUUGAGCAUUUAAAAUUUUCGAACGACUUUUCUUUCCGUAAGUAUUUGAAUUUCAGAAACUUCUAAACGAAAGAAAAAAUCACCUUGUUGAAUUUAUGUCGAUAAAAAUGAGUAAAUAACGGCAGUUUUUGGUUAAUUAUAGUAAUAUAUAAUUAUUGUUUAUAUAGUUUUUGCGUAAAAUACUUACAGUUUUAAAAUGUUUCGUCAUUUUUUGUAGUUUUCGAUUACCUAAUUGUUAAAUUUUUGUACGAUGUGGAAAAUCCGGUAGUAAAAAAUAAAAAAUUGAAUUAGACAUUACCCGAAUUAAAGGAUUUGUUUAAAACAUUAUUUUUUUAUUUUUUUUUGUAAAUAUUAUAUUAUUAUUUAUAAUAGUUAAUUGUGUAUAGGAUUUGAUCACAGUUAUUUAAAAACAAAAUAACAAUUGAAAAUAUGAAACUCUUUUAUCCAAAAUACACAGUGACAAUAUGGAUUUUUUCACUUUUCAUAAUAUAUUAACUUAAAAUAAUAUUUCAAUUUAAUUUUUAAACGUUUUAAACAAGUGUUUAAACUUAAAAACAAUAUAUUUGAAACAUUUAAAAACUCUACUCAUUUGUAACACCGCAGCUGUAUAAAUGGAUAUCGAUUUACAAUUUAGUGACCUAAUAUAGGUAUACAGUCUGAAAACAUGUUUGGCCUAAUUUCAAAGUUAUGUAUUUUUCUUUAAGUAAAUUUUAAGGGAAAUAACAAAAAUGUACCAAGCGAAAAUUUAGAAAUAAGGUUUUCGCGUCAAUAAGCAUUUUAAUACCCAUAUAAUAAUUUUAAUAAAAAUGUAUAAACAAAACUUUAUGAUAAAAUUGGAUAAUAUGAGCAAUAUUAUGGAUAAUGUCUCAGAAUAUUAUUUGAUACCUAACUAUACUAUAUUCAAUACCCAUCUGACGGCUACAUCUUUCUGGGAGAAUUUUGUGCAAAGACAGUUUCGUUGAUGUAUUUUUUAAUUUAGCCAUUGACUCUAAUUUUUGACACAGUUGGUAGGUACUCCUUGAAUAAUACGUUUUCGUACGGUUCAGUGUAGAAAACGUUCUAUCCAGAGUCGAAAAAAUAAUUAGAAACGUAAAGUGGUAAAAGUAAAAUAGUAAGCGUACAUUAACAUGUCCAAAGGACGUGAUAUAGACACACCUUAGCUCCCCUCUAGCUAUGCCACUAACUCAAACAUUUUGUAUUAAAAAAAAAAAAAAUAAAAAUAAUCUCUAUCUCAUGUAUAAGUUCCUAUAAAAAUAAAAUAUACGUAUAACUACUGCGGGUUUCACUAUAAUAUAUAGAACCAAUUAUUUAAAAUAUUAUCGUACAUUUAGUUCGAUAUAUUUUGGUGUUCAUAGUUUCGAACCGUUUAAAUCGUAAAAAACUAUAUAUUUUCUUAGACGGUAAUUAGAUGUAGAUUUAUAGGCACACUUACCAAUGUUAACCGAAUCAAUAUAAGGCUAAUAAUUAUUAACCAGAGCCGUCCUAAGGCCGGAGCGAGUGGGGUCCACCAUCCGGAUCCCGCGCAUUGGAUUCCUCGUUUAGGCUCUUCGCUUACGCAGUUGAAAAAUCCUAAGUUUUAUUUAUUUAUUUAAACAACGCCGAGCGGAAAUUUUAGAUAGAAAACUGAGUACAAACAAUUAAUGUUGUAUACAUUUACGAUACACAUAAUAUAAUGCUGACAAUAUAAUACUUAAAAUCACAUUUGCUUAUUUUAAUUGGAAUGAAAGUUUUCUUUAAAUACAACGAUUUACGUAUAAGAGUACAGUCGGAAUUUUUAUUUGAUAAUAUUAAAAACGAAAAUACUUGUACAGUAUAUGUCAUGAUAAGAGUGAAUAGUCCUCUAUAUAGUGUACUAUAAACAAAUUAUUAUAUGUAUUAUAUGUAGGACAAAAACUAAAAUGGUUCGGAUAUGUUAAACGAAGAAAAGCAACAAGCAAAGCUAGGACAAUUGCGGAUAGGUAACCAGAAGAGAACAGACAGAGGGGGAAUAUUCACUUUCAUUAUCAUAGUAUUUACUGUACAAAUAUGUUCGUUUUUAAUAUUAUCCAAUAAAAAAUUGUACUUAAAGGAAACUUUCUCUCUAAUUGAAAUAAGUAUUUUAGUAUUAAGUUCGUAGGGUUCGUAAACUAUAUAUCUCCACAAUACGCCAGGCUACUAAAAAAUAGAUUAUAAUAUGAAACGGAAAAGUAAGCAUUUUUCUUGUGAAUUCACAUAAAUUAUAGAUUAUAAUUAAUAUUAUUUAUGAAUUAUACAAAAUAAAAUAUUAUGCAUGUAAGCGAAAAAUAUUACCAAAAACUGAAAAUAGCACUAAAAAUCGAAUAUACUUCAAAUAUACAAAAUUGUAUGUUUGGAAUCUGGCCCAUAAAACAAAUAUAAAGUUCACUCUACUAUUGUUAUCUUUAUCCUAUAAUAAUUUACAAAUGCUAUAAAAUCUAAGUCCUGGUGGUAUGUAUAGAAAUUAUUUAUCUGGAAAUGAAAAAAGAGCAAAAAAAACUAUAGUAGAACAACAAAAAAAUAUAUUGGGGACUUUAUAAAUAAUUCAAGUUCUAGCAAUGUUACACUCACAUCUACCUAAAUUAAGAGCCAUCUAACUGUGAGAUAACAAAUUAGAGUAUAUUUUACUAUUAAUUGCGACUCAAAUAAUCUAGGUACUUAAUAACCAUUAAAAACUGCGUAUUAAAAUUCAAAUAACAAAAUAAUAAAUUAUAACAUUAAAUAAUUUUAUUAAUUGAAUUGUUGAAUGUAAAAUAGUAGACGAAAUGGACUUUGAUGAUUAUAUUAUUGACAUAUUUGCUGAUCUCAAAUCAAAAGAAUUUAAUUUUUAAUUAUCAUUGUUAUAUGUGUAGUUAACUACAAUAAUGAUACAUGAUAUAAAUAUAUUGUAAAAAUUGAAUUAUAAUAUAAAUAUAUAUUUAAAUGUUUGAUGUAAAAUACGUUUUAAGGUGCUCAUCAAUUCAAAUUGGCAUAGUAAAAACAUAUUUAAGCAUAAAAUAAAGAUAACAGGUUAGGUACUGGUAAAUGUAAUAGGUAAAAAUAUUUUGCAUUUUUAAAUGGGAGAAGUUGCGGACUACGGGAGUGCAAUUUUUUUUGUGUGGAAAACAUCAUAUUUUUUUUGUGGGCCCUGCUAAAGGAGUUAUGCCCCGAGCCCCGCAAAAUUAUAAGGUGAGUAGUAAAAACGAAUGGCCUUUAACGAUAAAUACCGAUACACGAAGUUACAGAAAAAUGCUUUCCUAUGUUAUUUAUGUUAUUUAAAUGGAAAAACUAGAUAAGCGAUGAGCCAGUUCUACACAUUUUUUUGUGGGUAAGUUUGAGACCACAAGGAAGCAAUUUCCAGUAUUUCUUAACUGGAAAAAAAAAAGUUAAAAAUCAAAACAGUCUAUUAAACAUGCUCGUUCCAAUAAUAUUUAUAUAUCUGUCGCAUUGCAAAUAAGUAAUACAAAAUAUCUAUAAUUAUUAUAAAGGAGAAUAAAAUUAACGAUUGGCACGACAGUUUUGUAUUGAAUAUUGUUAAUGAAAAUGAAGAAAGGAAAUAAUGAUUAAUUUAAUUAAUUUAUGUAUAUAAAAAAAAGGUCACUGGAGAGGCGAAUACGACCCUCCACUUUCCCCGGGGUGAGCACGCCUCUGAAGUAUCUAUAAACUAUCUAUUCCUACGCGCCUUGUAAUACUUUUAAAUUGAUAAUGUUAUAAUAUUAUGCUGUAUUAACUUUUUAAUUAAUCACUUUGAUGAUAUUUUUAAAAUACGCUAUAAUGUUGUAAUAAUUAUAGUUAUUAAGAUUACGAAACGCUUUUUACGCGUGGGUUCGAUGCAUAUAUUGAUAAAUAAUAAAUAGAAAUAUUUAAGGUCGUCGGACUUGCGUAGUUAGUCUCUGUCCGUCCUAUAACCGGGCGCAAUAUAGUAAAAACGAGUUUUCGUACACCCAACAGUACUUAUACUAUAAGACCUCGUUGCAAGUAUAAAUUCGAUUUUAGUGUCAAAAUAAAAACGAGACAUCGUGUUAUAUAUUGUAUAUUGUGUCUAUAAUAGAACGGAUUUUUUUUUUCGAAAACUGAAAUUGCCCAUUUUGUAUGAUUUGUUGAAAAUAUGUUUAAAAAUAAAAGCUGAUAUUGCUGACGGGCGUAACACUGAUGUAAAUGGGAGUCGGGAAGGUAGAAUACAUACAUUUAUUUAAUUUACACCGGUAAUCAACGAUAAAAUAAUGCUAAUAAGAAACGAUUCGGGGCCAAGUUCAGUUAUACAUGUUUUGAAAGGUUUUAAUGUUUACGAUUUUCGUAAAAAUUUGAUAUCAAAACUCUUAAACAUAAAAAAAAAAAAAAAAAAAAAAAAAAAAAAAUACUACCUUACACUCAACUUAGAAUGAACCUCCUGUUAAAUUUUCAAGCAUUUCUGUUUCUCCAAACAAUUUUAUCCACAUAGUGUCUAUUAAAUAAAACUCGCAAACAUAAAGUGCAUAUUAAUAGCUAAAAAAUGUGUUUAAAAUUGCACUACGUCUAGAAAAGGCAAAUAUAAGUUGUUUAUCAAAAUUCUAAGUUUCUACAAAUAUGUUAAAAUUAAAUUAAAAUAAUGAACCCAUUAUUUUAGGAAACUUUCCCGUUUUUUCUACGUCUUUACCCAGUUUUGCUCAAUUAUAAAAAAAAUUCAAUGUAAAAUCAAUAAACGACUUUCUUACUCACCACUGGUAUUUAAUAAAAGAGGUCUCUUGUCAUUUUUCGAUUGAAACAAUAUUUCUGGUAGAAAAUAUCGUGCAAAAAAAUUAAAAAUAAUUACAUUGUACGCCAUAAAUUUUUCAUAAAUUUAUUUUUUGUCUUUUUUCGGUUUUCCUAAUUAUUAUGAAAAAAACUUGGAAAAUUAAAAAUGACCUCAAUGCACCAACUAGAUAAAAUUUCCUUUCAGAAAACGUACUACAUUUGAUACAUCGUAACAAGAUUUCUAGUAGUAGAAUAGCUCAUGUGCACAAAAUAAAAAACCACAGAUCACAGUAAAACCAAUAGAUUUUUUACUCCAUUCCAAAUCUAAAAAGGAAUAUCUAUUAUAUUAUUAGUAAAAUGUGAACAAAAUCUUUUUAAAAAACGAAUUUAAAAAAAAAUACUUUUAUGUAUUUUACAUUUAGUACGGCGUUGUUAUUAAUUUUUUAACAUCAAAAUCAAUAUUUUAUUACCCCUGUAUGUAUAUAACUAUCGGCCAUAAUACUGACGAAAGUACAAAAAAGUACGAAAUUUUGAAUUUUCAUGAUUUACGGUUCAUCGGUCGUGGAAUUCAUGAGUCGUGUGUAAGGUUUGUUCGUCGUCCCUAGCCCAAAAACUGGCCACAGCUAUUCUCAAAUGAUUUGCCAUGUACAAUCCUUUAGAGGGGGGGGGAGUUGAGGAGGAGGCGUGGUAAAACUGAAAGAUCAAAAAACACGAAUUUCCGCAAAUGAGUAGAUGCAUGUAAGUACAUGCGAGUUCGUAUUGGUCAGGUUCAUUCGUUAUGUAUAUUUUAAUUUUUCCUAUCAUUUUUACAUGGUAUUGUAGUUUAUUUUCUAUAAUUUUUUUUUUAGGCUCUGUAAAAAUAGGACCAGUUACCGCGACUUGUUCUUCAUCGGCUAAAUACGUCAUAAUCAAACACAAGCCGCAAGACAUAUUAAAAAACGGCCUAACAGCUCUUGAGUAAGGGGUUGACGAGAGAAUUAAUAGUUUUGAAGUACCUACAGGUUAUUGAUUUUGGGCGGGGACUUGGUCGAGUUUAGGGGGAGACAUGACUUCCUAACUGAUAAUAACGAAUUUCAACGAAUUUUUAAUGGUUUUUUUUUUCUUUUACGGGCUUUUAUGUUACGUAUACAGAAAUAUUAAAGUAUAUAAUAUAUCGUGAUAAAAAAAAAAAAUAAUAAUAAUAACAAAUGGAAAAUAAAACAACCGUAAUAUUAUAUUGACGUGGGUUGGGCUAUUGUAAAUAUCGUUUCAAAGCCUUGAUGAGCUCUAAUGAUGAGCAAUAAUAUUAUUUCAUCGUGUUUUAUUAUUAUUAUUAUUUUUUUUAUCGGAUGGGUACGGUUUUUUCUUAUUUCAAGUGGACGCGGCCGUGAUGGGAAUUCGGUUUUUUUAUCUGUAUAAUAUUAUUAUAAUCUACCUAAAUUACAUUAUAUCAUUUACUUUUCACGAAUAGAAUGUUGAAAUUAUACGGAUAAACCACGCGCGAUAAGGAUUGAUUUGUUGUCCUUGCAGGUUAAUUAUAUUGCUAAGAAAAAAAAAAACCAAUAGAACAGAAGAUCAAAAGUAUAAUAUUAUAAUACUCUAUAAUCGAAAUCGCGUUCACGAGGUCACUAUAUGCGGUUAAUUUACAUUUUUCCAAGUUUUUACUUUUCAUUAUCAGCUAUAGGUACGAAUAAACUUUCAACAGAAUUGUUCUUCUUCUUCUUUAAGUUCUUCAGUCUACCAAUAGUCUUUUUAAAUAAUAGGCUUAGUGGCGUAAUCUGCAGGAUUUAUUUUCAAGAGUGGGAGGAGUGGUUAUACUUUUCAAAUCAAUUUCUAAACAAAAUGUUUUUAAAAUAAUAAAUUACUAAAUAGGCAAAAUGUUCGAUGCGCACAUAUGCAUUCAAAAUUGAUAGAAAUUGUCUAAAAUUUUAAUAUAAAUUAUGCAACUAUGCGUAUUACGUAGAAUUCGUAAAAAUCUCGAAUUUCAAGAAGAGGGAUGUUAUAAUGAUUUAAAUAUGCGCAAUACUUUUGAAUUUUGAGGCAAAAAAGUUUGAAGAAACAUAUCUUUUGUAUAGAUUUAAAGUGACAGUAUGAUAAUGAUAGUAAAAAUGACGUUUGAUGAUUGUCAGUGGUUUAAGAUAUAGGCUAUAAAGACGUAAAAUGAUUUUGGUAGAUUUUUAUCAAUACAAUUUAACAGAACAUUAAUGGUAAGUAAUCAAAAAGGCUUCAAGAAUUUAUCAGGGUGUCUCAACGGCUUGUGUUACAUACUUUACUAUGUAUAAAUCCAUAGAACACUGGCGCCCUGAGGCACUUUGUAUAUUGGAACAAAUUUGUUUGUAACACGAAUUUCGAGCUACACACUUUACAUAUGAAGGGUAGGUAUUUGGGAAAAACUAUAGUAAUCUAUUCGUGUACAUUUUUCAGGGGAGUAAAAAUAAAGUUUGUAAACUUUGUUUAAUCAAAACAAUUAUAAAUGCACGAUAAACAAUAAUACGUCAUGAUACCACAAUGUUCUGUAAUAUUAUUGUAAUAGAUAGCGAGUUGAAAUAGAGUAUUUCGUAGUUAGAUUUCAACCUAAUUUUUCCGCAACCGCAUAUUGACUACAAUAUUUCUUCGCCGAUAUACUUAAACUUUUCCUUUCAAUAUUAGUGAAAUAUUAUUAUUAUUUUUUUAUUUCAACACACAAUAUUGCUACUAACGUGCUACCGAAUCAAACCAUAAAAUCAAAAACGACAAUAAAAUGGAUUACUACUGAUUUCCCACUGGUAUCCAACGUGCAUUUCCCCAGCCCCACCCUUUUAACUUUUUCGAAUUUUUUUUUAUGCUAUCAUUUAGCAAUCAAUUUGUAGCUGUUUGUAAGCAUUUUGUUCAAGAAGAAAGUUGAAUUUAUUAGGGGUGGAGCCACGGGACAGGGACAUGUUUCUUCAACCCCAUCCAUGUCACCUGCUCAGUUAAGUAAAAUAAUAAUUAUGCCACUAUUUAGCAGCCAAUUCGCAAGCAUUCGUAAGCCCAUCUCCAACAUUUUCGAAUCGUUAUUUCCCCCUUAAAUUUGCAAUUUUUCGAAUUUGGCCAUGUCACGCGCACACGUGUGGUCCUCCACACCUUUCAUACGUUUCGUCGCGAUACAAUGUUAUUAAUACGUGUAACAUAAAAUUGCUAUUUUACGACGUCUUGAAACGAUUAUUAAGACGUCCCCCUGCCCGGAAUCGGAAAUAUUUGUGUGUACGAUAUUAUCAUGUAAUUUCUCUGUGCCGCGCAGAGUGUGCGCAGUAAGAUAUCAUAGAUAAUAAUGUAUACGAUUUCAUGACUGCAGUCCUCCGUUAAUUCGUAUUUAAUGGCGGGUACAGGUAAAUACCCUGACCAUUCCGCGAAACGGAAUUGGAGGUUUGCGAACGUAAUUCGGUUCCCACACGCACUGGUGCUGUGCGAUAUGAAAACUAUCGUUCCGUAAUGGGUUUCAUAAAAAAUAUCUUCAUCGUACGGACGUGUAUAAAACCAUCGGAAAAAUAAAAUAUUUUAUCGUGCGGAAAGCCCGUGUCACAUUGUGUUUAAUCGUUACCAGGACUAUUAUUGUACAUUGUCGUGUACACUUCUCAUACCUGGUAUACUAAUAUUGUUUUAAUAUUUCCAACAUUACCGAUACAAUAUAAUAGUAAUAUAAUACCUAACACGUUAAUGCACGAAACGAAUAUAAGUACUAUACAAUACAUUUUAUGACGGAUCCCACGGUCAAAAAAAUUGUUUUCGCAUUGAAACCGAAUAAAAUCUAAAAAAAAAAAAAAACUGCGUUUUUAAAUUUCAGAUUCUAACCGAUUUACAACAGUGGACAGAAAAAACCGAAAACAACAGAAUCCGCGUCCGUGUAUGUUUUACAGUUUUUACUUACUUUUAAAAAAAACCGUUGUAUAGGGAAAUUCGAAAAAUAACUUCAUCAAUCAUAUUUAUAUAUACCAGGUGAUCCAUUUAACCAUUUGAGUGGGUACGCUCAUUAUUACGAAAACUUUUUUUUGGAAUUUGUAAUGAUUGUAAGAAACAAUAGCUGCUCUACAAUUUUAUGUUAAUGUUAUUUUUGUCAUUCGCCAUUAAUUUUGGGGGUAAAACCACGCUACGUACUUUUGAUUAUCAAAUGGCAACCUAUAUUAAAAUUAAUUUAAAUAAAUAUUAACUAAUAUUCAAUCUAUUUAUGGAAUUUUAUGGAACAUUAACAUAAAAUUGUUGAGCAGCUUGUAUACUUUCCGAGACGAUGAGCGUAUCCACUUAAACGGAUCACUCGGUAGUGUGCCGCAAAUCGGCGCAAUUUCCCACGAGAAAAAAACGCUACGGUCCACGUCAAGAUUACCGAUAGAAGUGUUGUUUGUAGAACAAAAACAAAAACGCAACUAUAAAACCGCUAAAUUUCUCGCUGCUCGUUCGGAAUCUAAAAAGAAAAAAAAAAAAAAAAAACUCAAGGCCGUUUAAAUAACGUUAUAUUAUUAUUGAAUAUCGCCAAUAUCCGUCGACUAUAUUGUAGUCGGGAAUUGCGCGCGCCCAUAGACAAACGAUUAAAAACGUCGAUCGACACGGCCGCAAUAAUAAUUUUUAAUUAAUAAUAAUUAUUGCUGUUGUUAUUAUUGUGCCAGUCCGUGACGCCGGGUGAUGUUCAUGAAUCGUUUUGCGGAGUGGACGCCGGCCAAGUCCCCGAGUGUGUCGGUUUCGCAAUUAUCGAAUACUAUACGGAAACACGCGACGGGUCGUUACUGUAAAUUAUCUGCUUUGCGUACGCCUAUAUGCAUACCUAAAUAUAUUGCAUACGGCGUGUAAAACGAAAAUCUGACAACUGAUAAUAACUUUUGUUCUGUUCGACAAAACUAAUAAUAAUUCGUUUGGAUUCCGAGCGUAGCGACGGAGCUAUUGGUUUUACUAAGACGUUUGUUUUUAUUUAUUUUUUCUUCUUCUAGCCUGUGGACACGUUUUUUUCCCGGUAAACUUGUUCCGGUUUUUACGCGUAGUGACUUUUCCGAAAGCUCGAGUUGUCUAGAUUGCCAUUUUUUUUUUUUUUAAAUAAAAGCACUAAAGCGGGAUUAAAACGUACAAUUUCACGAGUUUAUUAUUUUAUAAAAAACACGGACGACGUUUUCUACCAGAAAAAAAAAAAAAAAUCACAAGACACCUUUUUUGUUGCUUUUUUGAUUUACUUUGAUUUACGGUAUCAUCGUCAACAAUUUUGAGCUGUUAAGGAAUUUUACUUGUAGAAUAGGUAAUUUUGAGCGCUGUGAAUUCCUUCAUUUUAUGUGAAAUAAUUUUUUUUUUUUUUCACUUAGUAUACAAUUUACAUAAAAUCAUUUUACAAUAUCAAAAAUAGCCGUUUUGUAAAUUGUAUAGUCUGAAACAAAUUAUCAAUACGUGUUAUCGAAUAUUUACAAAUUAAUGAACGUCGUUAAGUUUAUACGGUUUAUUGAAGUUUACGAUAAUUUCAAUGUUUUCAUUACUACCACUAAAUAAUAUCAAUCGAUUCGCCAAUUUUUUCGUGAAAAAUAAUUUUGAUAGUCAAUAGCUUUUUGUAAACUAAAAAAACCGUUAGAAAAUUAAAGAUUCAUAAUUAGUAAUUAUUUAUAGCACCGAAAUGUUGUUUCGAAGUAUAUUUAUGAAACGGUUAUUUUUUAUUUUGUGAUAAAUGUUUUUUUUAAAUUGUUUAUAUUUAGUUUAAAAUAUAUAUAUAUAUAUAUAUAUAUUAACACACUAGAGGGAUAAUAACACCAGACUCUAGUAGCUAAAAAAAAAAAAAGAAUUGAAUAUUGUUUUAACAAAACAAAAGUUAUUUCAGGUUACAGACUGUGUACAAUAUUCUCGGUUAUAAUACUCAAAAACUGUUAUUGAGAUUUCGGAAAACUACAAGUGAAAUCGAAAAAUGACCUCCCAAUGACCGGAUCGAAAAUUCCACAGGUACGUUCCUGUGACGUUUUUGAUCGGCGUCCGAUUUCUAGUAGAAAAGUUAUUGUUUACAAACAAAAUAAUAACAAUAACAAACACAUAUCGUCGCGGUGUUCGCGCGCAGACGGACCCGAGGUGUGUUUUCUAAAAGGUUUUCGACCGAGUAGAGAAGUAUUACGAAACGUUACACGCAAACUGCUCGUAAUAUUAUUACCGUGGACCCGAUCGGUUCGCAAUAAUAUUUAUAGAUGACGCCGUACGCCGACGUAUUUCACUACAGUCUCGUAAAGUGAUCGAUACAAUAGCAAACAAACGGAACAACAACGGUAUAAUACUCGGACCAGCGGCGGUCCUUGACGAACCUCGAGGGAGGAGGGGUGAAAAUAUUUUCCAUAGUUUACAAAACACACACACGCGCGCACGCACACACACACACACACACACACACGCGCGCGCGCAUUCCAUUUUAGAUUCGGAGCAUGGCGAGGAAUCUAUUUGUUUUACUAUGACGUGUGUGUGUUUUUUUCUUCUGUCAGUAAACAACUGUUCGGAAAGAAAUCUCGCUCCGACGUAAAUAGAGUGUAACACGUUUUCUGAUAGACAAUAUUAGCUAGUUGAUGCAUUGAUGAUGUCAUUUUUUGAUUUUCAAAGGGAUUUUUUUUUUUUUUAACAAUUGAACAAAACCAAAAAACACGCAGAAAGAACUAGGACAUUUACGAAACACGAAAUAGUUAUUUUAUUAUUUUAAAUUUGGAUUUUUUAUUGUCGUUUAAUUAAAAAUGUUUGUGAAGACUUGAAUUUUUUACACAAAAUGUAUAUUUGUUUUUUCUAGGAGUGGUGAAAUAUUCAAAAAAUUUAAGCAAUUUUCGAGCAUUGUAUAGACAUUUUAAUUUUGCGAGUUUUCUACGUAAUUUUUAUUCGGUAGGCACUACGUGGAUAAAACUAUAUUAGACUAAACAGAAACGCUUGCAAAUUUUAAGCUUCAUCGUAAGUCGUACUUAAUGGUCGAAAAGAAAAAAUGUGUAGUGUAAUGUAGUAUUUUUAUUUUUUUUAUAGCGUUUUUAAAAUCAAAUUUUGACGAAAAUCGUAAAUAUUACGUAUUUCCAAAACAUAUUACUGUGCAACUGAACUUCGCUCCGAGUCGUUUGUCGUUGGUUACAGACAUAAAUUAAAUAACUUUAUGUAUCCCUACCUUCUCGAAUUUUCGUUUUUUCAUUUUAUUAGAAUUUCGGUAAGUACGCGAGAAACAAUUCGAUGUGGUUCGAGUAUACCGCAGCGUAUUAUAAAAUAACAAAAAUCGAUGUAGCGCGUACGUUCGAAUAAUAGUAUUCGAUACUGCAAUGUCAGUAGUAUUGGUGCAAAUAAUAUUAGUUGCCAUUGUUGAAUAUUUGGAAAACUAUCUUGAAACUCGUAAUGUUAUCGUAAUUGACCGCGACGUCGUUCACUGUUUAAUUGCGUGCGUAUUAUUCGUAUACGAAUACUAUAACAAUAUUGUUUGGGUACCGUGCUGAAACCCGUAUCAAAACGAUAGCGGCCAGACUAUCGGAGUUCGAAUAUCUGAAUGAUAUUCGAUUAGUUCCUAUCACCGCGCUGCGCGCUUUUGCACAAACGGGAAAUUAUUAAACGGAGAAUUUGGCGAUAUCGCUACAUUAUUAUUUAACGUAUAAGGUUGUAAUGAUAUUCGGCGGUGUAUUGUUCGAACAGUAAUGAUAUUAUGGGUAUGCGAGUGAAUAUAAUUAUUUUCAUACAGUUUUCGAGGCCCGUUCACAAUAUUGUUUCUUAUCGUGGUGAUAGUGUUGUGCGUGCUGUACGGAAUACACACGAGUAAUAUUCGAUGGUUUUGUUUUGGACAAUUCGUAUUUUGUCCGGUUUAAAUUUUUAACUCGAACGACAAAUACGUAUGUUUCGUGUGCCCGUAACUAUUUGCGAUUUUAAACUCUAUCGGGUACCCAAUCUCAAUCGACCGUACCGAAAUGUAGGUGGACGAUUAAGUUUCGAACGUUUACUUUUGCGAAGGAUUUCGUUUUCGUUUCCGCCGUACGUUUUUCCGGCAUAUUCAUCUACGCGAACGUGUAACACAGACGAAUACUCUACUGUUAUUUGUACUGAUCCGUGUGGGCACUCGGGUUCGUUAAAAGCGAACCCGAUAGCGAUGGCAUUACAAGUUACCAACGGGGGAAAUUGAACGGCAAUAAUCAAUCCUCGCCGGCGGACCACCCGGUACCCGACCGACGACGGUAAACGCGAUUUUUGAAACGUUUCCCGGCAACCUUAUCGAUGGCGGAAAAGCGCGUUCGGUUUUUAAACAGCGACGCACGUUAUUAUUGCGGCGGACAAUGCGGCCGAAACGCUAUUGCCAAACUGCACCGAGUAUCGCUCUCCGGGUCCGCGGCGGUUAAACGGUUUCGGUGCCGCCCCCUGCGCCGAGAAAAAUAAAUAGAUUCGCGCGUCCGACGCGUUUAAUAAAUAAUAACGCAAUAAUAGUUCGCCGAAAUGCGGAGACCGCGCGUUCGCCACGACGGUCGCCAAAUAAUACCGAAUAAUAAUAUAACGUACACGGGUGGACCGGGGACCUUCCUUCAGGCGCAGGGGCGGGCCCGGAAUGCCCUUCGGCUAGGUCCCACCCUCGUUACGCCUUAUUACAUUAUUAUCGCGCAUAAUGGCACGAGCUGCACGGCGUGCAACGCGAACGGAGCGAUACUGCGACGCCGGGUUUACGGUACAGCGGAUAUACGCGCGGGACGGGCGCCCGGUCGAGCGGUACGAGCGGGCGAGUAGUGAUUAUUGAAACCGCGUUUCCGUCCGCCGGGCCAAGCGGUCGCCCCCGUCGUCUACGCGUGCCGCACGCUAGACAUCCGACAGUUUCUCUGCAGGGCGUUCGGUCGCCGGAGAAACUAUUCGAUAGUCCGCCCGAACCGUCGACGGUGUAGACUAUCCGAAAGUGUCCGGACACUGUAGUGCGUCUCGGCGGCGGCGGCGGCGACGGCCGUUCGACCCGGCCAAUAAAACACCGACUCGGUCGCCAUUGACGUUCGGCCGUGUAGCGAGACGAGUCCCGCGGCCGAGCGCUGGUUCCGCGCGAACCGAAUGUCACUAAAGCGAGUAGCUAAGCACCCGACGAUACACGUCGGUGACAAUCCCGUGUACCGGUUCUGGUAAAGGAUUUCCGGCAGGGCGACCGUUUUCGCCCGGCCCGGUCAAUCGUUUGCUGCGUGCACUCAGCAAACUGUCAGCUACCGAACCGAUGCGGAUUCGUCGGUAAAACACGUUAUCGACGAAUUAUCGCUGUUAUCUAAUACAUUGCGUCCGUUUGACAAGUAAGAUACUUCGAUAAACCCGGUCGCGGGCGACCCGGUGUAGUACGAUAACAAAACUAUACUAUACCCCGGACGGUACCGUUCUCGUGCGAUUUGUGAACUCGGUUACGCAUGCUUGGCGAGUGCACUCAUGAGCGAAUCGUUAUAUCGAUCCGAUUCCUUGUCCGAAUUAUUUGGUUUUCUUUCCAUUUCCAAUUUGCCGUUAUCAAAACGCGGUUUUUUGAUACCGUCUUGUUUUUUUUUUUUUAAACAUUUUUUCAUUCGUUUUUCGAUAGAAUUUACUCCGCUACAACGAACUGUCGAUUUUACUGUGUAGCGGUCACUAUAAAUGCGAUCCAAUACUCGAUUUGACCACUAGGCUCAGUAUUGUCCCAGUGUAAACCCGGCUUUGCGUUCGGCGCGAUAAGAAUCGGCAUUCGCGUGUACACAACAUACUCGUAAUAUCAUGCGCAGUAUGCGACGAUAGGAUUUCGGGAACGCCGCCGUGCGCAAAUAGGGGUGGGUGGGCAGUAAGGAAAACCGGAGCGAGCCAGAGAGAGGGAGAGAGAGAGAGAAAGAGAGAAAGAGAGAGAGAGAGAUACAAUAUUGUAUACAUUGCAAUCUUUGCCGCGACGUCCUCUCCGCGGUCUCCAGCUCUCGCGCGAUUUCGACGCGGUAUACACGGGGGGCAGGACUCGAGAACCCGAGCGGACAGAAAGGGUGGAGCGAACCGACGGCGGAGGAAGGGAUACCUCGGGGUCCUCGGGGGUUAAGGCUCAAUUACGCGUGUCCGCCGCCGCCACUGCCGUCGCUCGCAUAUAAACCGGUAGUAUCUCCGGGUUGACGGCUUAUUGUCACGACCGCUACGCUCCGCGGAGGACCCUGCCAGAAACUCGUUCGCUCGUCACUCGUUCGCUUGUUCACUCGUUCGCCCGUACCGCCACAUCGCACGUUCGUCUACUAGAAAUCCAUAACAUUACUUGACAGAUUUAGCACUCUGAUCUUCUCAGUGGAUUUUUUUCUGUCCGUGUCCGUCCACUACACACCAGGUAAAAUGUCAUUAUUGUUAUUAUUAUUAUUUUUUUUUUUCAAAUCCACGGUUUUUAAACGCGACUUUCGCAAUAUAUUUUCGCCGCGCGAAUAGCGAUCGACGACGGUGACCCCGUACAUACAAACGUCAGUACAUACGUUCAGACGUCUCGUUUCAACAACCCCGUUUUGUCGUGUAAUGAAAAAAAAAAUAAUAAUAAAAUAAUAAAAAAAAGCGCGUCCAAAUAUCAGUUUAUCGAAAAUCGAAUAAAUUUAAAUAUUCAAACAAAUUUGUUAAAUCGCUCGGAUGCUUUUUUUUUUUUUUUUUUUUUUUUUGUAUUGCGAAGACGCUACGAGUUGUUCGAUUUGAUCUCUGUAGACUCAGUCGUUAUAUAAUAUGCACGCGCACAUUUUCAUAAUAACACUGAUUUUUUUUUUUUUUUUUUCCCCCGUUCAAUUUCGCCUCUUUGUUAUUUUCAGCGCAAUUUUCGGCGUUCAAUUAUUAUUUGGCGCAACUUUCUGUACAAAUCGGUUUUACUAUGUACAGUUUAUUUUAAUUAUUUUUCUUUGUUUUAUUUUAUACUGCGCAACAACAUCCAAACCCUGUACCUCGGCGGUAACAACCGUUAAUCUCGAUUUAUGUACAUCACUGCGCAUUAUCAAAACGUAUUAUUUACUAUGUUAUUAUUGUUUUCGGUCCCUCGUAGAGAUUCGCACUAAUCGGACGGCUUUUGUAGAAGAAAAAAGCAAUUAAAAGCGUUCCUAUACACCUACGAGUACAGAUGCGAGUAUUUAGUUAUUUUUUUUUAUUAUUUCGACGUAUUUGUCCUUUAACGUGUAAAAGGUUUAACUUUAGUUUCUCUCUCGAAAAAUUACACAUUUUAACGAAGACGCCGAUCGACGAGAAAAAAAAAAACGAUUUUACACUCCACUAAAACUCUUGGGUGCCAAAACCAUUUCCUUCCGUCGCUCUCUGUCAUACGGCGCCUGUUUCCAGUCCGCUCCAUUUUCUCCUAUUAAUUAUUUCCCUCCCCUAGGUUUCUUUGCUCUCAUCACAUCUGUCGAUACACUUUUCAGCUCUUUACAGGCCAUAGAUGGCCUGCCCAUUCUAUCAUUGUCCCUCUAAUCGACUUUGACUACGUCUCAUCUUGUGCGUAUUAUAUAUAGUUGGUAUAAUUGAGCGUUAGUUUAUAUUUUAUAUUUCUAUUCCACGUCGUUGUUUACGAGUCCGUAGGUUUUCCUAAAGAUUUUACUCUCAAAUACACGUAGUUUUUCCUCAUUUUUUAUCGCCAUUACUUACGCGUACGUCACUGCAGGUCGGAUGUAGAGCUUGUAUGUAAUUUUUUUUUCGUUUCCCUUAACCACAGCUCAAAUCUAAAGAAGUUUUUUUACACAUUGGUUCGUAAAGAACCUAAUUAGAUAUUAAAAACAACUAACAAAAAAACACCGUCUAUCAUGAAAAUAACAUUUAUUAUUUUGUACGAUUAUACGGCUGUGGACAAUAAAACGUAUAAAUUAUCGGUAAAACGAUCGUUUAUAUAAAGUAGUAAUAAUUUGUAAUAAAACAGCAUUACUUUAUUAUGUUUUUUUUUGGUCGAUAAUUUAUAUAAUUUAAUAGUUUAACGAUUAUUUACAAAGGCGUUUAAACAUUUUUAAAAAUACUCGUCUAAUUAUUUUUGGGAAGGAAGUAGGGGGAUCGGUGAACGUUUCCCGAAUUUUCUCCAAUUAUGUAAACAUUCAAACAAAUUGUUCAUCGCCAGACGAACACGACUUCUAUAAUAUCAGUGGGCUCGAUACGAUUUAGGUGGACUUGGCCGCCUAAAAUACUUUAUGAGUGCAUUUUCGACAUUUUUUUAAAAAUACGAUCAGUUUUCAUUUUGUAUGAUAUCCGAGGAAAUAAUUACAUUUCUAUUUCCGACAUAUUAUCCUUGUAAAGAACCUAAAGGGUCAUCAAAAAAUCGAAAUCCGUCAAACUAAAUUCCUACAGUUUUGUCUCGUUUUUAGGUCUAAACCGACGAACAUAAUACACGGUCUCCAAUCUCCGUAAAACCGAUUUUGUGUUGCUAGUUUAUAAAGACUUCUAAAUAGAGAUCGGACGUGUGUUCACUUAAAAUCCUUAAAAAAAAUAUAUAUAUAUAUAUAUAUAUAUAUAUAUAUAUUUUAAAAACACUAAACAAAACCCUGCAGAGUGGCUUACAAAUUAUUGAAAAAAAGCAAAAAAAAAAAAAAAAAAAAAAAAAAAAAAUGGUAGACGAAUUUAAAUAAUCGUUCUUCUAACGAUUUUAACUUAUUGAAAUACAAUUUUCAAACGCUACAAAAAUAAUUAACGCAAAGUACUUUUUUUUAUAAUUUAAAUAGUUCAAAUAUUUCAAGAACAUAUUCACAAAGUUAACGUUAGAGUAUUUUGUUAUUAAAUCAGCUACUUCAAACAUUCUGAGAAUGUCAUGAAUAUUCUAAUUUCAACUUAUGAAUAAUAUUUCUAAAAAAUGAACGUUACGUUUAUGUUAUCUGGAAAAUGUAUGUAUAUAAUAUUAUACUAACACAGACUAGUAUACUGAAAAUCAAAAGAUUUUAAAUCGCCGUAUGUAAUAUGAUGACGUGUGUUUUUUGUUCGGAAAAAAAGGCACACGUUUUGUACAAUACUAUACGGCUUGGGCCGUUAAAAACUGUUAUUUCGGCUAUUUGGCGACUUUACUAAUUGACAGGAGUUACGCCAUUGGGCCAUUUUCGAAAUUUAAUUAGCUCGGAGUGUUGAAAACUGUACAUAAUCGAUCAGAUAAGCCCUUCUGUCCUUUCUGUCCAACGAUACAGGUGGGUAUUUAUAUUAAAACGAUUACGAAAAAAAAAAAAAAAAAAAAAAAACAACAUAUAAUAAUAAUAUUGUGCAUCAGCAUACAAUACUACACUGAUAUACGGUAUUAUAUGAUGGGAAUAAUCGUGUUAUUAUAACUGCGGCAGGCCGCGGUCGAUGUGAAAGAAAAAUACGGUUUUGAACCGUUCGCCGUGAGUUAGGCCGUACAAUAAUAAUAAUAAUAUUAUCGUUUGAUCAAACAUAAAUGACGAAAUAAAAUGCCAAAAUACGCGCGUAUUAUGACGGACGGUUUAUGAAAGCACAGCGAAAACACCAAUUUAACAUCGUUCGUCAUACGGACGAUGGGAAUAAAAUACACCGACGAAAUAUAAUUUAUUUUAGAACGCGUAUAAAACAAUCGACUCACUCGCGUUCAUAAUGAUACAACGGAAUAUAGUAAACGGAUUUAUAUGCACUUAAAUGUCCACGCGAAAAAACUGAAAAAAAAAAAAAACAAAAACAAAUCAAAAUACAAAAACGUUAAAAGUGUUUUAAAAGUCUUCGACCAACGGCUAUAAGUAAUGAGAUGCGAUUUCCCAACGCUACAAAAAUCAUCAUGAACACAAAGUAAUUUUUUCUUCUAUAACAUACGCGUAAUGCGUUUUUAAAAGAAAUCGCUUUGUGUUUAAUAAUUUUUGCAGCGUUAGACAAUUGUUUUUGAUCCGUUAGAGGAGGGGGUCUUUUAAAUCCAUCCAUACCGUUUUUAAUAUUUUCCAUAUUUUUAAGUGCUUUAAACUUUUUUUUUAUAUAGAUUUAAAGUACGUAUAAAUCAAACAUUUAAUCCAAUUUUAAUAAGAUGGCGCUAUAACUGCAUAUUAUGUUGUCUCAAUCUUACAAACGUGCGUCCAGAAGCAUAAUUUUUUUUUGGUGGGGAGGGGAAAAACGGCGGUGUUGCACGGGUUGCCCUUCACGUACCAUGCAAUUUAGAUCAAAUAAUAAAGGUAAAUAAAUUAAGUGAGAAAUAAAAUAGCUUCGAAUAAUUAUUGAAUGUCCAAUGCUAAUUUAAGGCGAAGGGGCUUGGCCGAGAAUGGUGAGAUUUUUUUACAUAAAUGUUUUUUUUUGUCCAUUAUACCGACUCUCCUAAUUAUCGGAAAAAAAAUCUCUGAAAACAUAUUUCAAUUCGUUAUGAAGUAUAUAUAUAUUUGACUAUUUUACGUUUUUUAAUUCAUUUUGUUUUUCAAUUUUAUUAACGUUUUUACAAUUCCAAAAAGAAAAUUACGUUUUGAAGGGUUUAAGAGUUACAUUUCAAACUAAACUUCGUAAAAAAUGCAGACAUGUCUCCAGGCGUUUUAUCCGAUUACUAUAGGACAACUGGCGUACGAUUGGCCUAAUAUUUGGGUCUAUUUCGACAGUGCAUACGUACAGUCGAGAAUCGAAAGUCCGUUAUAAGUCACGUCUCGAUUUUUGUUUAAUAUUCCGUCAAAUACUCCGACAUAAUAAACGUUAAAGUGUAUUCGAUUCGAUUCGAACAGUAUAACAACAUUAGGUAUUUAAAUCGGUUUACAAAAUGUUCACCAAACUGUAUUGAUAAACUUCAAAACGGUUAAAUUUCAAACCGUUCGAACGUUAUCAUCGUUUAGACGUACCAUUAUUGUAACCGUAAAAUUAUAAUUUUGUUAUUACAGACGUUUGACGGCGAACAACGGUAUUCGAUUAUUUUAGAUUUUGAGUGAAUCAAAGAAGCUUAUUGUUUUACGAAAAACGUUUAUUACUUUUUUUUUUUCAUCUGCGGACAACUUUUCUAUCAAAAAUGUUGCUCCGAUUUUAGAGUGUAGCACCUUUUUUGAAAGGAAAUCGGGCGGGCGAGAUAUUUUAAAAAGGUAAUUUUUUGAUUUUCUCAGGAGCUUAUCAAUAAAUGUGAAAAACCGAAAAAAAAAAACUGAGGGAAAACGGGAACAAUGUACGAAAUGAAGUAUGGAUGAAAAAUAUGUUGGCCACUUUUUUUUUCCUGUGAACAUGAUUUCUACCAGCAAUUUCGCUCUUAUUCACAAUCAUAGAACUUUUUCUGAAUGGAAAUUUGACUCAGAAGGUACUUUAGGGAUUUUACAUUUAUUUAAUUUUCUCAACAAAUGGGAAAGACCGGGACAAAACAUGAAAAAACCGGGAAAACCGUAGGAAAAACGGAAAAAUCGGAUUAAUAUUGAGCGAGUAUUAUUAAAGAAAAUACAUAAUACCUAUUUAAUUAUUUUAUCUUAGUAUGACACAUAUAUAUUGUUGACAUAUAUAUCACUAUAAACUGAACUCCAAUAAAAUCUCCGGCCACGAUUGAUCGAUUAUUUUACUAACUCUGUUUAAUAAUCAACGUUUACGUUGGUGAGAACGGGCCUAAGAAUCGUUUUUUCGUCAGCAAUGGUUUAUUGUUGCUUACAGAUAUACAUUAAAUUCCCUUCUGUAUCGUACUUCCCCGACUUCCAUUUAUAACAGUGGCUGCACCCCCACACGCGAAGUUUGUCCGUCUUUUUUUUUUUGUAUACCAUUUUCCAUAAAAAAACAAAAUAAAUAAACGUAAAAAAAUUUUUCUGUUGCGGUGUAAGUAAAAAGGUAUAAUAUUAUAAUAAUUGCAUCCCGGAUAUUUCUUGAGCACGUCCGAUACUGCGUUUUACCUGCGAUAAAUUAAAUGUCUAAACGACAUUUUAAUGGCUUAUCGAGUAUUGUAUCGAUUGCACAAACGAUUACGAUUUAACUUUGAUGGUUUCCUAGUAUGUUUCGCGUUGCAUACAAACCCAAUAAUCGCAUUAUGCUGUGGACGAUUAUUUAGUCGGUUGACCAAUACCCGAACACGUUUACAACAACGAUAAAAUUACAAAACGCACCACGCGGAAUCGAAAUAUUAUAACGAGCGAACCGAUAUUUUUUAUCUGCCGAAGUAGGCAGGUAGUGAGUAACUAUUUAAGCGAAUAAGUGACGAUAGUAGGAAAAUAUUGUUCGGUUUUUUUUUAUAAUUUACAGGACACAGCAAUUGUAUAGUAUAUAAUAUACUAUUAUGUAGAUACACAAAUAAUCAGGACGCAAUUUCGGAAGGAAUUGUUGCUGCGCGGGACGCAUUUCGUAUGCAGCCCAAUAUUGUUCGUUCGUAAGCCUUUCACCGCUAUAAUCGCUUUGAUAACUAUUCGCGUUUUUUCAUAUACGAUUCGUGUACGUAGGUGGAUACAUGCACGUAGGUAUACGCGUAUAACCCCACUUAUAGUUGUUUUAUUCUCUUGGCCCGAAAAUGCUGCUAUAAUAAUCGCGUCGUCGUUGUAAAAAUAUUUUGAGUCAUACGCCAAAUAUACGAGCGUCGUCGCGUGUCCGUUACGAUAAUGCGAAAAACCGACACUGUAAUAAUGUUAUACUGUUAUGUAUUGAAAAACAAGAAAAUGCUAUCGUCGCGAAAUUAAAAAAAAAAAAACGUUGUCGCCAAACGCGAUAAAGAGAUUUUCCGUGUUGGCGCGCGUAAAAACUAUAGAGAACUAUUAAUCCGCGCACUACCGAUCCGGAUCGAAACAAACGUUUACAAUCCGCGUAAUCCGGAUUACGGGAUAAUACAAAUAAUAACGCAAUAUAAGUAUUUUAUAAUCAACGACGAGAAUAUUUAUUAUUAUUUCAAUAUAAAUUUUCUACCUGCAGCAAUUUCGCUCGGAUUUACAAUAACAGCACUUUUUCAGAAAGGAAAUCUGACUGGGGAGGUACACUUCAGGGAGGUGAUUUUUCGAUAUUCUAAUGAGUUUACCCGAUAAACGAGAAAACAGGGACAAUAUUAACGAAAUAUUAUUAAAGAAAAUAAUAUGUAACGCGUAUGUAAUUAUUAUUUUACCAUAUUAUGACGUGUGUAUCGCAGUGUAACACUAUCGACCGAACUCCGCGUACAGAUGUAUACAUUCAAUUUCUAUUAUAUCCACUACGCAUACCCGCGCCCAACUUAUCAACUACAACAACGGCCCACCCAUGUGCGAAGUAUAUUGUCCGUUUUUUUUUGUUCACCUACUAUAUAGUCCAUUAUAGUGAAACGAACGGGUCGGAUCCGAGAAUCCGGAUAAAACGGAUCGAUCUCCGGAAUUCGGAUCGCGAAUACAACCGUAAUCCGGAUUCCGGAUCCGGUCAAAUUAUCGCUCGGCACCAGCGAAAGCGUAUACUUUUAGACGGAGCAAGGUACCGAAUGGGCGGCGAAUAAAAAACCGCGAGCGCUCGAAUUAUUGUCGGCGAAAAGAAAACGCACGCACAAAUACACACACACACACACACUCAGUGGUCGGGCGAUAUAACCGCCACGCGAUUCGCAGAACGUCCACAACAAUAUGCGAAAAUCGAACGGGGAGGGAAAGGGGAAAAUGAACCCGAAAUGGAACGUAACGAUGAUACUUAUAUCCAUAAUAUAUCGCUGUUGUGUUCACGCAGUACCCAAGUAUAUAUUUUUAUGCGGCGCGUUUACCUAUUAUAAUGAAAACUGUAUGGACGUGUUUCGUGUAUACCUGUACCUAUAAUAGUAUACGAGUAGUCCGUGCCAAAAUACGAUAUUAUUUCAAUGGGCUUUUUGACCUGUGUCAAACGUUUAAAUCGCGACGCACACUCGUGUAUGAUAUGGCUUCCCCUCCCCCUUAUUUUUAUAUCGUGAAAAUAUUCUGACACGUUGACAGGUCGCCCAUCGAACAUUCCCGACAGCUGGUGGUGAUUAAUUCUCAACAAGACGCUCGUUAUAAAAUGUGUACCUCGGAAAAUGUUAACUUUUUUCGCGGGAUUAUUUACUUUGGAAAAUUUGAAAAGAAUAUAAAAAAAAAAAAAAAACCCGAGCAGCUUUAAAUAGGGUUACGUUGCCGUUAAUUUUUGUUAUCGCUAUUUUUAAGGGGCGAAACCAUUAUUCGUUUUCUAUUCCCAAACAUACCGACCGUACAUUUCGCGGUGUUGACGUUUCGAAUUUCCGUCGACGAGAUAUUCCGCUCUUAGGUUGCGGGUCUCUGAAGAGUUAUAACGGAGCACCGUCCAAACGUUAUUACUCUCAUAUAUACUACACUUGCAAAACAAUAAAUUGAAAAUCGGAACGUCUCGUCAACGGGCCGACGGACCCGUUUAAAAUGUCGACACCGAAAUCCAUUUAAAUUAAAACUGUUCGUGGAAUUUGCAGUGUAUAUGUAGCUGUUUGAAAACCAUAAGUGAAUAUCCCCUUCCUCCUCUUCCACUAACAACAAGGAGGGGGGGGGGGGAUAUAACGAUAACGUAUAAGAGCAGCUGUUCGUUUCGUUAAUUGUCCGAAAUGAAAAAAGUUAACACUUUCUGGAAUAGCGAUAGUCACUUCUAAUCGAGAAUUGAUCACCUGUAAAACACAAUUAUAUACUGUUAUAAUAACAUAGUAAACCGACAAAAUCACCACAAUUUCGGAGUUCAACUGCCGCGCACGUGUGCAUUCAUAGUUUCGUAUGGUCGGGAUAAUCGCGCGCCCUGUAUACAAAAUAACCCGCGGGACAUUUUUCUGAGAAUUAUUUAUUUUUUUUCUCGUUGUUAUUAUGCGGUUCCUGUCUGUUCAGCGAGGACGUCAACACCCGUCUGCGUCGUCUCCGGUACCGUACUCACGGGUAAUGCGACCGGUAAAUCAUCCCCCGAAGAGGUCAAGACCUUUGUGUUCUCUUUUGCGAUAGUAACUUGCAAAAUAUCAAGCGUGCAAUUAUUAAUAUUUGUACGUUAAUUUGUCGAACGUCGAUACAAUCGUGCGAUAUUUAAUACCUUUAAAUUAGUUAUAAGAUUCAUAGCACCCCUCCCCAUCCCCCCAAAAAAGGUCCUAUAUAGUUACUGGCCGUCUCCGUCUUACAAAAACGUACGGUGUGUAUAGCGAAUUCGCGUUUCGGCUGCAGGGCCAACUUUGCGCUAUUAAUUUUCGUUGUUAGAUGGAAUAAAAUUCACCUAUUUAUUAUUUAACGAUGUUAAACGUAAAACCGCUAUAUCUGAGCGACCGCGCGGGCAUUUUUCGAUGUUUUAAUUUUAUGGGCGUUUUUUUUUUUUUAAUUGUGAUAAUUCGCAUGAUCAUAAUCUCUCGCCAAAACGUUGAAAUAUCGCAAAAUACCAACGUAGUUGCACAGGCCAAUAUUCUUGGUUUUUAAGUUUUGAUAAUCGGUAAAUUACGACUAUGACAGCACAAAAUUAUGGUUGUAGUCUGUAGAACGAAAAUUUGUCAAGACAGCGCACGCGGGUGUCGCGUCAUCUGAAGCCUGUCUAUGGUCCACAUCAUACGCGAUAAUAUAUUUGCGACAUGCGAUACUGUGAUAUUACUAAAUAUUACCGUUUAUUUCAUAUUUGACGAAGUUUUAACAACAGAAUGGCUUAUCGGUGUAUUAUAAAAUAAAUGGUUAUAGGCACUAUCACAGUUGCGAAUAUCGCAACUCUUACGUGUGAUGUAGACAGGCUUAUAAGUCAAUGAUAGUAAUACUUGUAUCAUCAUUAACUAUCGUCGCGUGGACAUCGAUGCGUGAAUGUUUCUAUCACCAAACUGCGAGAGCGUUGGCAACUAACGCCGAUACUUACACAUAUAUCACUAUAGUUCGAUUUUACUGUCACGCCAUAAGUGUAUACAGACUUUUCUAUUGAAAUUAAAUUUAACUAUAUUAUGUCGUUUUUUAUUGCGAUAGUCGCAACACCAACAUUAAUUACGAUAGUAAUCAUCGUGUGUGUGUGCACUGCAGUAUAACAGUACGAUUUCGAUCAGAAGACUUCUAUAUUGCGAACCGAUCAAAACCUCCAUAAUAAUAUAAUAGAAGCUUAACGUGUAGCGGCGUAUAUCCGUGUAAUCGGUAUUUCUUGUUCUUUUCGAAAAGGGGGUAUACGUAUUUGUGAUAUUAUCGGUUUUCUAUUCGGUAAGCAAUUCGAUUUAUGUGCUAAUACAUUUUCUAUACCCGGGCAUACAAUUUCCAACAUGGGCGUGCUCGUUCUUCUGCAAAUAUUAUUUGUAACUAUUAAAAAUCGUCAAGUAAUAUUUUUUUCAAUUAUGUGAAUAUAAAUGUAUGCAUUCGAAUAUUUGAUAUUAAAUUAUUCCUGUAAAUCGUGAUGAUUAUUACUCGUAAAAAAAAAAGUUGAGCGUAAACGUGUCACGUAUUUUAUUUAUCUCAUUACCGAGUUACAAAAAAAAAAAAAAAACAACAUUUUCUAUGGGUUUAUUAAUUAUUUUGUAUUUUACAAUUUAGAUAAAAAGAUGAAUUCGUCGAGUUGCGCGUCGAAAAACACCGAUUACUAUCAUCAGAUGAGGCAGAAAAACAACGAGGCGGCCAGGAACAGCCGUUUCAAGAAGAAGGUGGCCGAAAUCGAAAUAUCCGCUCAAAAGCGCAAGCUGGAAGUGUCGUACGUGCAGCUGAAGAAGGAGAUCAAACGCAUACAGGUCGUGAAGGCGUCAUAAACUCCCGUCAUUACGAUUAAAAGGUUAGUUUGAUCGAUGUAUAUUAUAUUAUAAUAAUAAUCAGAACCGGAUUGACUAGAUCACAAGUCAGUCCGCAGUUAAACACUUUAGGCCGAGAGUCAACUUUUAUCAACAAUAACUAAUGGAAAUGGAAAAAUUAAUUUUUCAUAAAAAAAAAAAAUACUAGUAAUUAUAUCCAACUAUAUGAUAAAUAAAUAACUACAACAAGUCAUAGUCUCUUAAUCCCCACUAUAUAAUAUUGAAUAAAUGUGAUUGAAGAGGUUUCGGACGAUCCAGGAGACCCAGGCUUUCCUUAUUAAGCCACUGGGACUAAGCGACUUUAUCGUAUAAACGUCAAAUAUUAAAAAAAAAAAAAAAAAAAUUGAAAAAAAAGCGCCAACAAUUUUAAUUUUUCGAAAAACAUUUUUUUUUUUUUUUAAAUUUCAAUUAUAACUAUAGCUAACUAAAAAUUGCUUGGUCGCCUAGUUCCGAAAAAUCCACUGAGACGGCGCAAGGCCUCAUAAAGGAAGGAUCUCCAGUACCCUGCACGUCACCCGGUACGCGAGUUAAAAUUAGACCACUAAAAAAAAGCUUAUUAUCUCUUCAGUCAGGUAAUAAUAAAAAUAGAACGGAAUUAUUUCUGCGUUGGCAUAUAUUUUGUUAAUAAUGUUUUCGUUGUGUAUAUUAUGCAGUUCUUAAGUGUUUACAGCGCAUCGUAUUAUAACAAUAACAUUUUUUUUUUUUUUUUUAUAAUAUUUUAAGAAUAGGUACGUUUUUGUCCGACGGGCCAAAUUAUAAUACUGCAGACGAGAUAGGUCAGUCCGCUUUUGCCGACCGGCGGACCGUCUCAGUCCGCCCCUGCGUUAAUAAUAAUAUUGUAAACAUGUGUGUCCAUGUGUAAACGCGCGAAGUUUGACGGAAUAAAACGAAAACUGGAUUAGGUGAUCCCUCUGAAGGACUUUUUUUUUAACUUGUUUUUUUGAAGACGAUCAGACUGAAAACGAUCGAAUUGUUGUUCAAUAUACGACUACACUACACUCGCAUAUUGAUAUUAUAUUAUAUUCUUUCGAGUAAGUCUAGGAUUGCGUCGCGCGGAAAUCGUCGCAAUAUCCGCCGGUCGGAUAAUACCGUGCGGUUCGCGGGAAACCGACGAAGAUAAUUUUCAAACUGCCGCGGCGCGCGACGCGGAAAACUUUUCAAUUCGAGAAUAAUAUUAUUUCCGUCGUGGCUUACAAUAUCGAUUUACAAAAAAAAAAAAAAAAAUAAAUAAAAGUAAGAUUUCUCGGCCCGCGUAUUAUUAUUUCUGGAAAUUGCCUUUACGCUCGCGUUCUCGAUUUUCGACGCGUGACGACCAUGACCGCGACUCUACAGUCCCGGGGGAUUUGUAUAUUUACACCGCACGAGCUCUUAAUAAUCGUUUUCGUUUCAGUUUUUUUUUUCCUCUUCCCAUAAACCGAUCGUUUACUCGGGAGACUUUCAGUGAAUUCGAUUUCUGUGUUUGUCAACCGUUCUGGAAUCGUAUAUGCCUCGUUUUGAAACUGUUUUUUGCAAUUCGUUACACCGUAUUCGCAUUACGCCUCAAAUGAGUAAAUAUACUUUUGUGUUUUAAACAAGAACCCCCACCCCCGUCUUUUUAACACAAUCUCGAAUAGAGAACAUUUGUCUAAACAUUUUAUUAUGUAUGUACAUAACAGUUUACAAUGACCGGACGAGUAAGGGAAGGGUAAUUUCAUAUCAAUUUUCUGAUGAAAAAUGCAUUUACCAUUCCCCAUACUCAUCCAAAAUGUAAACUGUUCUUAUUCAACAAAACGAUCAAUCAAUUGAUCAAUCGGAUAUUACGCCCUCCUUUUUUUUUUUUUUUUUUUUUGGAAAAAUAUCCUCUUUUCGAAUCUGUGUUCAAAGGAGGGCGGGUAGAAUCAAAAGUCUACACUAAUUUCAGGUACAAUUAGUAGAGGUGGAAAAUUGUAAAUAGCGUUUGAUUAGAGCUUAAACCGGGGAUGGCCAACGUAGCUUUUUCUAUACUGUGCCAAAUUUAAAAAAAAAAAAAAAUUAAAAUAAUAGAGAUGUGCCAUGAAACACUAACACUCGCGUAUCAUUUACAAUAAUAUAACAAUAUAUAUUUAAUUUUUAAUAUAAAUUUAGAUACCAGCUUAAUAAUAUGCUUUUACAUCACGUUUCAUUUAAAUUAAAACAAUAAUACAAAUAAGUAUGAAAUUUAUUCUAUUUUCAUAACAAUUGUAGCGAUUUUUUUUUUUAACGGGAAUGUUGAAUUAUUUUUUCUUUUGACUAUUAUCUAUUCAUAGUUUGAUUGAAGUUUCGUUUCAUAAAUUGUUUUAAACGUGAACUUGUUUGCGUGGUGGUUCGGUACCCACGAUAGAAUCCGUCCGACAAAAACUUAGUACACAUAAUAUGUGUAUGCCGAGUUAAUUCCGCAGACUAAUUUCAACGUCAGAAUUUUCCCGUCGUUUCCAAUUCGACAUCAGACAACUCUUUAUGUUUAAAACUGUUGUAUUUCGAAGGUCAAUAAUCGCACCCGAGGGUUGAAUUUCCGGAGAUCGCGUGUUCGGUGCGUCGGACGGAUUAAUAAAUACGUUAUUCGUGUAUAUCUUCUUAUUGGUCUUUAAAUCCGCCGAAUAUUUCUUCGGUCUCGUUGAUACGGGCGUGAGUUCAUGACGCGGUAUUUUAUCCGAAACUUUAUAGUGUGCCGUCCGACAACAUCGAAUGCGCCUUGGCCAAAGGCGCGCGUGCCGCAGGUUGGCCGACCCUGCGGCUUAAACGGUCCCACAAUGACGGGGCGGGGUGGGGGGAGGGGAAACGAAAUCGCCGGUUCGUGGCAAGCGGAUCGUCCGGUAUGUGACGUCGCAUUAUAAUAGGUGCGCCUAUACGACGAAUGUAUCGGGAAGAGUGACCGGUGGCGGACUAACAAAUUGUUGCCGGGUCUCCGCCGGCGAAUCUCGUUCAGAUCCAGUGUUUAUUGUAUGGGUAGGUGCCCGCGAUUCGUACGAAAAAAUCCUUUUCGUCGCGAAAAUAUUUCCCAAAAUGCGUACAUUAUAAUAUAAUAAUAUGGUACAAUACUGUUUGAAUUUGUAUAGGUGCGCGAUACACAACUGGCGAACCGUUUCGCGGGGGGUUAAAACGGUAUAAUAUCGUACGAUAAUAAUAAAAGUGUGGGUGUAUACACCUGUUCGCCGUUUGACUGCGACCUACUAUUCAAUAAGAAUACACGUUAUACGGGGCGAUUCCGUCCUCGCCGUCAGAACUAACCUACGCUCGUGUUAUUAUUAUACGUAUCGUCGUUAUGUGCACAGGGAAAUGUUCGGCCGUGUUUUCGGCGAUUUCUGUACAAUACCGACGUUGUGGUUACGCAAUUCUCGCUUUCUCGAAACGUUUCGUUGUUCUACACGUAUGUUUUUCGUCAUUUUAGCGGUAAAACCGCGCCACGGGAAUUUGAUUGUUUCGGUUCCGUCGAGUCGAAAUAAAUUAUUCGUCGACCGCCGCGGGAACUUAGUGCUUCCCACUGUUCGGUUCUUUUCUAGAAAAAAAAAAAAAAACAAACACACAGAAUUGUACAAUAGUAAAAACAAUGAUUUAGCCUGAUUCAAUCGUCCAUUUCUAGUACCAAUAAAACACCCGAUUUACGUAUACUCGUCGUAACAAUAGCAUCGAUUAUAAAAUAGUAUGCACAUUAAAUCUUGGUACUAUUUUAAAAUCGAUUAUUUAAAAUUAAAAAAAAAAUACGGUUGUAGGCGAAAAUUCGGGAAGGUAUCCUGACCUUAAAUAAAGUUCAUUAAAUUCUUAUAUGUACGCAACGAUAUGAACCAUUACGAAACGAGUUUCUGAGCGAAGGUCGGUUAUGUACAUGUUUAAAAUAUCGUAAUUUUCGUAAGCAUUGGUUAACAUAAUACAUUUGAAGUAUAACCAAAAUGGUGAUAAUCAUACGAUUAGUGAUUAGUGAUAACUCCAUGUAGAUUUUCAUGAAAUAUUUAAAAUCCGCGAAAAGAUUAAUUCGAAAAUAAAUUAAUGCAUUUCAAAGACAAUGCGAUUGUAUUACGUAUAGAAGAAAAAUUAUCUUGUAACCUAUCCAAACUUAAUUUUAGCCCUUCCCCACCCUUCCGAAAAAAAUUAAAAUUUAAUAUUAAAUUUUCAAAUAGACUUUUAUUACUUUUUUUUUUUUUAUCCCGAAUUAUAAAUGUUCACAGAACGCUUUACAAUUUUGCUAAUAUUAAUUUAUAAACUACCCGUAACUAAGUAAUAGAAAUAUAAACAAUAAUAUUUAAUGAACAAAUUAUUAAAUUAACUGUGAAAAUUAACUUGUAUUCGAAACACGCGUCGAAUUAAAUAAGUGUAAUUCAAAAAUUACAAAGUUAAUCGUUUUCUUAUCAUGUAUAACUCGGUAUAACUUGUUUGUAAUUUUUUAAUUACUCCAUAAACCCAGCAGUUUUCCCGGAUGUAUUUUUUGAGAAUGAAACUCGACUUUUGCGUGCGUUAUUCUCGUCGCACGGUCCGCGAACAUUAUCUCGUGUAUCGGAUUUCCACUAGACCCCAGGGCAUAGUGAACAUCCACUGUUCGUCUCUUAAAAAAAAAACUCCACUCGCACUAAACGACACCUUUCGCUAAACUUUCGCACUUUCCGAUAUGCGCUUCCCUCCCGCCAGUGAGAGUGUUUCCUAUUGUAUUGUAACGUAUAAUAAACCGAUUAGUUUGAUCGUUUGCCGUUUAUUUUCUAGCGGACGCGCAGUAAACAAAUUUCACUCCACUGGACGUACAACGGACAUUUCGAUGUUUCCGUUUGGACCCCGAAAAGUCCUCCGUUAAAAAAAAAAAAUUUUAAAAAAACGCCCGGCUCCGUUCAUAUAGAAUUUACUCCGUGAACUGUUCACGGACACCAACGGUGUUAUUAUUAAACGAAAAUUAUUGUUUUGUUCGCGGCACGUGUAUCGAAUGUCGGUUUUGAAAAACAUUAUUUAAAUGAUAUUAUUAAAACGCAUCUCCGUAGACGUAUUGUACAUCUAUGCGCAAUAAAAUAGUGUAUUAAUGUCUGGGGACCGAUGAAUUGUUGGCAACGCGUUAGACCAGUGAGUAUUUAAUAUAUGUAUAUAUAUAUACCUACUAACUCCGGUGCGUUCCAAUUAUUACCGUGUUAUAAUUUGUACAGGGUGUUAUUUUUAUGCUAUACCGUAUAUGUGCGCAGCGCCGUUUGUUUACGAAUAGAUUUGGAGUGAAUCCGAUACCUACUCGUGGAAAUAAUUGUCGAAAAUAAAAUGAAAACGCGUCCCGUCGCAACGGAACACGUUUUCAUGUCUCUGAACAUGUCUUACUGCAAUGAACACUGUCAGUUUGGAAAUUGAAUUUAUUUUUCUCCCGGUGUUUUAAUUCUUCACGAAUUGCGUUUAAAAAUCUAUGAGUUUAAAAAUAUCCAAAACCGUCUGUUAUGGCGCGAUUCGAAAGUGUCCUACCCGGUUUCCGGUUUUGUUGGGUUGCCGACUGAAAUCGAAGCUUAUUGAGGAUCUUGGAUUGAUGACGUCGUCAAGCCACGGUGCUUCCUCUCUAUUUCGACUUUUGAGAUUUUUUUUAAAAAAAAAAGAAAAGGUAUUUUCUUACCCGGGUAAACCUAUACAAUUUGUUUGAAAAAUGUCGGCAACUCCCAUUGUAUUUAACUGCUAUGCAUUCGAUAAGAGAAUAUUUUCACAGACAAUUAGAUACCAAUAUUAUAGAUGCGAGUAAAUUUAGACCGGACGAGUAAGGAACAAGAGUUGGUGAUAAAAUUGCACGUGUCUAUCAAGUUAAUAUUAUAAACUAUUAUUCGUUUUGAAAUGUGAACAUUAUUAUGUCUGAAAUAAUACAAUUAAUAAUUUAAUCGAAUUAACGUUCAAAGGUUAUUCGUAGGCUUGUACAGAUUUGCCGGUUAGUAGUUUGUAUAUUAUGAUAAUGAUCAAACGAGCACCCUGUAUAUAGAUACGUGUAUUGUUUGCCGUAACUCGGGUCAAACGUUCGGUCACUCGACGACUAGACAAACUCCUUUGCGACAAAAAUAACCUUUUCAAAAUAUAAUAUUAUAUUAUAAACGCCGGCGUUUAAUAUACGAAUCGCUACAGUUUUACCAUUAAAUUAAUAUAUACUGUCCAGUAUUUUCUUAAAUCUUUUAUUUUUUUUUUUCAAUUCGGAAAAAACAUCAAUACGACAUCUGUUAUUAUGCAUGUACCCUGUCCUCCUUAGUGUAAAGGCACCUCCUAAGUAUUGGCGACAUAGUCAUAACUCAUAUCAUGUAGUUUUCAGAAAAAUAAUAUUUUAUGAAUCGCCUUGUUUUCCUGAUUCCUAUCGAUACAAAACAAAAAAACCGAAUGCGAACUAUAGUACUAGCAAAAUUAUUGUAUGGUGUGAUUACGUGCUCAGCGGUUACUGCCUUUUCGCUUAUGGUCAGUAUAGAAAGUCAGUAUCUAUAUUAUUUUUUUAAAAAAAAAACACGUGUAUAUAACCACGUUUAUUAUGAAAUCUAUUGCAUUUACGGUAUUUUUACUCAGGGUCAGAAAGACGCGUUUUAAAAAAACAAAAACCAAAACGAAUAUUUCGAUACAAAAAAAGCAAUUUUUCAAAUUCUGUCACUUAAUACUGCCCUUUAGGUCCAGGAUGGCGGUAUUCUAUUUAUAAUAUUCGUCAAGGAGUAUUCGAAAAUACCACGGGCCACCCCGCCCCGGUUUUGUGCUCGAACACUGCGGACACAAAGCCCACGUCCGGUCCGCGUCAUUAUUAUAACCCUUUUUUUUCUUCUUCUUCUGAUGACCGGCUGAUGAAUUGCGAAUUAUUUGCGGUCCUUUAGUUUCGCUGCACACGCACAAUACAAUACGUUUUUACACGAUAAAAAUCUGUGUGGUCUUAAAUCUGUUUCCUCGCUCGCCACCACGACGGCAAGACUUAUUUUUAUUCGUUCAAAAUCCCAUUGAUGCCGUUCGCACACCUGCGUUCGCGUAAUAAUUUGGCGUGUCGAUCAUGGUAAUAAUAAUAUCAUACACACUCGGAGCCGUGUCGGGCCAUUCGGCGCCCAGGGACAUCGAUUUUUAAACGCCCCCUUUUAAGAUACUUCACUCGAGUACGAUUUGAAGGAUGAAUCCCCCCCUCCCACCAAAAUUUGUUAUUUUUUGUGUGUUACAAUUUUUUUGUAAAUUCGUAUUAAAAUUUUAACAUUUUACAUCCACCAAAUGAGAUUCUUCGUUACGCUUGAAUUUGUUUUUCUAGAUACGCAUAUUACGUUACUCGGUUGUACCCGCGGUCUUGUAAUUACCAAACAAUAUUAAUUACUGUUUUAAGCAAAUAACGUUUGAAAACAAAACAAAUAACAAGCGACAGAACAAUAGUGAUAUUGUUAAUUUUAUUUCGAGUUUUACGUUGAGCCGGGUGCCCGAUUGUUUUAAAAAGCUCCGACGCCCCGGGGCAAAUGUCUCCACUGCCUUCUCCCCUUUAACACGACCCUGUAUAUUAUGGCGAUUGGUUUCCGCGGAACACUCGCGGAGGUUAAGUGUACGCUCUCAUUAGCUAUUAGUUUUGAAAAUGUACGAUGCACACACGCAGUUCUAAAAUUGUUAUGUUUUUUAACGUUUUGUGUUUGUUGGCAGUGCAUUUUUGAAUUUCGAAUGACGGCGUAUCUUGCAGUAAAAUAAUUCCACGAGUCACAGAUAAAGUAUGUUUUAUAUAGUUGACAUUAAUUCGAGUGUUGAAACGUUUAAUUUAUCUAAGAAGAUAUAUCACUGAUCACUGCCACUGGUCGGUGGUUUUUUUUCUUCUUUAAGAGACGCUAUAGUUUCUUCCUACUAUUUUUUUUUUUAAACUAUGCGUCAUAUUGUACAACGUUUGUCAUCAGACCUAAUACUUAACGUAAAAUUAUAAAAAUAAUAGUACGAGUACAUCGUGCGCAUACCAGUAUAUCACUUGAUGGUAGAUUAUUCCCAAACAGAAAUAAACUCUAAAGGGAUUACUUAUAUACUAGUCUUACUGACAAAAAAAAAAAAAAAACAAAAUCACUCUGUAUACUUAUAAUAUAUAAACUUACACACACACACACACACACACAUACAUACAUACAGAUAUUGUGCUUGUUAUUAUAAUAUUCGUUCAGCUGAUACGUGCGCAUAAAUAUAGCCGGAACGCAUUUUCGUCGUCGUCGUACCUAACACGUUUUUUAAUCGUUAUUGUCCUACCUAACGCACAAUGAAAUAAUUUUUUCUCACUAAUGCGCGCGUAGAUAGUAAAAUUUAAAAAGAACGAAAACUGCGUACAAUAUAUUUCGUGAUACGCCUGGAAUUUAGGAGAAAAAAAAAUCUGUAUAUACAUUCAUAAUAACAAACACGUUAAAAACGCGUAUUGGCCAAACUUGUGCAAUGUAUAAUAUUUCGACGGUGUUUUUAUUGUACAGGUACACCUACUUACCUAAUACCCGGUUAACUUGAAUAAAUUUUUCCUCUCCUCCUCGAAAUCAAACUAUCCGUAUCCGGUACUUAUAUACCGAACUGAAUAAACGCGUUUUAAGUUUAGAGUGCCUACCCGCACCUAUAGCUCACGCUCUAAACUCGCGAAACGCACAGUCUGUAAUAUUAUAGUUUACGAGUACAUGCGAAUAUUAUUAUUGUAAAAUAAAUAUUAUUAUAAUUGCGUGCCACUCGUGGCUUAAAAUAAAUAUUUUCAUUUUCAAUUAUACUUCAAUAAAUUACCGUAAUAUCGCUUAAUAUUCUACACUAUAGAAAUGUAAUCUAUACAUUUUGUGUAUUCUACGUUUUUAUCUGCAUUGAUAAAAUGUUUUAAAGUGUAUUUUCUGAUACUUAAACAGUAUAAUAGUUUAAAAAAAAAAAAAAAACAACACGAUCUUAAAAACGUAGCCUGUUAUUAAAUUGACGAAUUAUGUUCAGAUUUAUUACCGUAUCGUAAUAGAUUUUCGCCCGCUCGUACUUAAGUUGAAAAAAAAAAAUUGUCUAUUUCCCCACGGAUAUUUCUAUUAAACAACAAAAAAUCAUGGCGACAUACAUGACGGUAACACCGCCAUAAUACUAUAAAUAGGUACGUUAUGACCUUACCAGCAGUUUACCGAGCACCGAUCAGAAUCGUUUUGUGAUUGCAAUAAUUUAUCGUUCGGCAUAAAAACUAUAAAUACCGCCUACGACCCGUAUUCUAUAAUACCCACGAAAGAAAAUGUUGAUUUUUUUUUUUUGUUCGAGACGGUUAAAAAUAAUCGUGGAGAUCUGUAUUUUUCACAGAAUGCGUGUAUAUUAGCUUCUUCUAAAUGUGAUAAAAUCGUUUUAUGCAUUCUAGCGAUUUUUCAGCUAAUUAUUUGAGAGGCAUUUGACAUUUUUUAGUUUUUCUUCGGUUUAAUGUGGAUAAAAUCGUUUUGGACGAGCAGAAAGUUUUACUCAAUGAGCCAAAAGCCGAGCCGUUUUUUUUAUACGCGAGUCAAAAUUUUGAAAGGAACCGUAAAAAUCACGGCACGUCACAGUAUGAUGUUUAACUAAACUUCGCUCAGAAUCGUGUUCCGUUAGGUUAUUGUUUGGUAAUGAUUUAUCGUCGCAUAUAGCAUACUAUUUAAACAACUCUAUGUAUCGUAUAUAUUUUUUUUUGAAUAAUAAUCUCCGUACAAUCGUUUGGUUUUUUUCCCGAUUAUUAACCUGAUGAUAUUGUAUUUGUUUUCAGAUGUUUCCCGCGAUCAUCAUGGCUGCAAUAUGAACAUAUUUUUUUUUUUCAACCGGAUAAUUAAAAAAAAUAUUAAACUAUAGUAUAAUAUUAUUAUUUCGUUGAAUUUCUAGUCAAAACAUACAUUAUUGACUAUUGUACAUGAUUUAUUAACAUAUUUUGACUGUCAUUUAACCAGUAAUAAAACCUACC
Non-coding RNA from Cinara cedri, 41296 nucleotides. The record is from the annotation of a GenBank genome assembly. Lineage: Eukaryota; Metazoa; Arthropoda; Insecta; Hemiptera; Aphididae.